Molecule: ribosomal RNA, 460 nt
Filed under: uncultured bacterium
Lineage: Bacteria
Description: partial 16S ribosomal RNA
Rfam family: Bacterial small subunit ribosomal RNA
Source: RNAcentral
CCUACGGGUGGCAGCAGUGAGGAAUAUUGGUCAAUGGACGGGAGUCUGAACCAGCCAAGCCGCGUGCAGGAUGACGGUUCUCUGAGUUGUAAACUGCUUUUGUACGGGGAUAAAUCUGGAUACGUGUAUCCUGCUGAAUGUACCUUACGAAUAAGGAUCGGCUAACUCCGUGCCAGCAGCCGCGGUAAUACGGAGGAUCCGAGCGUUAUCCGGAUUUAUUGGGUUUAAAGGGUGCGUAGGGGGAUUGUUAAGUUAGAGGUGAAAGGUCGGGGCUUAACACGGGCACUGCCUUUAAGACUGGCAGUCUAGAGUGGAGUAGAGGUAGGCGGAAUGUGUGGUGUAGCGGUGAAAUGCUUAGAUAUCAUACAGAACUCCGAUUGCGAAGGCAGCUUACCGGUCUAAAACUGACGCUGAGGCACGAAAGCGUGGGGAGCAAACAGGAUUAGAUACCCCAGUAGUC